AAUGGGAUAACUGGGUCAAAUGUUAGUUCCAAUAAAAGUUUUCUGAGAAAUUUUUAUACUUCUUUCCAGAGUGGCUGCACUAAUUUGCAGUUCCACCAGCAAU
Molecule: microRNA precursor, 103 nt
Filed under: Marmota monax (woodchuck)
Lineage: Eukaryota; Metazoa; Chordata; Mammalia; Rodentia; Sciuridae
Source: RNAcentral